RNAcentral lists this long non-coding RNA (7763 nucleotides) under Lupinus angustifolius (narrow-leaved blue lupine). Lineage: Eukaryota; Viridiplantae; Streptophyta; Magnoliopsida; Fabales; Fabaceae. The record is from RNAcentral.
UCACAUCUUCUUCUCAUCGCAGCACCCACUGUGUAUAGUAUCUUCUCAUCUUAUUAUUUUUCUCUCUCAUUUUUUGUCAUUUUGGAUACUUGAAUUUCAUCCCAAUGAGGAAGAAUACCCAAAUUGAUAGGAAGUGCCGUAUGACACUAUACAGCAGCGUAUUUUACUCUCGGUCUCAUAAUCGUUAUCAUCCACUAAUUUCAAAUUCAUCUCGAUUCGUACUGUGAUCCAGUGCGUUCGUUUUGUAAUUUUUCAUUGGUUCGAUGAAUCAUUAUGGUUUCGAUUGUUCUUCGCUGUGUGUGUGAUUUGAGAAGGGAAUCUGAGGGUUAUUAAUUUUUGUAAUUAUUUUCAGAUUUAUUUAUUUGUUAUGUUAUGUUAGGUUCGAUGCCACGUCGAUGGUAGCUACGUGCAAUGACCAACGAUGCUAUGAUUGAACCAAAAUCAAGAGUGAAUUGUUUCGCAUCUUGAUAGGAAUCUGUGGAUUUCGUAACUUUCAAUUCACGGAGCCGUUUUAUGCGAUUACAUUUUAUAAUUUAUAUAUAUUAAUCAUUUUAUUGCUUUUACUUUUGCGUUGUUUAUGUGAAGCCUGUGAUGAUCAAUCUUAUUUGGAAUUACCGUCUGAACAUCCUUGAUGUGAAAUUUUGGCUGUUUUUCUGAGGCUUCAUUUUAUAUUCAAUAUAUUAAAAUUAUUUAUUUUAUUUCUCUAUUUGAUGAUGCCUCAGUUCGCCAUAAAGAAUGGUAGAGUUUUUAACAGUGGCUCUUCUAUCGUUUUGAACAUUGAGGUAUAACAAUAUGGCUAGUCAUCGUUUCGGGCGUCAUUAUUGGCGUAUCGAUUGUUUCUCGUCUACAUUUUAUACUUGUAGAUACCUAUUUUAAAUAUAUUUUGAUUUGACAUUUGAUUGAUAGAUUAGUGCAGAUGAUGUGUAAAAUGUCAUUUCUUCACUUUGAACCUAAUGGAGUUAAAUAUCCUUGCGGACUCUAUGCAUUCACUGAUGCACUUGUUAAAUUCUCUUUGUCUCAAGUUGUUUUUUUUCUUUGUUGAUUGAGAUUCUGCUUAUCCAUUAAAUUGUUUUCUCGACAACCUUACCUGAUUUCAUUAAUGUGUAACACGGGGAAAUCAGUAGAAUUCCUAUCGAUUUUACACUAUCAUCCAUCUUCAUAUCCAUUAUUCAUUCUUUUCAAACAAGGCACACCUUAAUUAUUCACUGUGUUAGUAUGGAAUGGAUGCGUUGUUAUAAACUUUGGACCUGUUCAACCCUAUCCUAUUGUCCAUCAAUUAUUGGAACCAUCAAGAAAAUAUAGGUCUGUUGGGAAUUGCCUCAUAUCAUUGAAGAAAAAUAGAUGUGGGUAUUGCCUCAAAUCAUUGAUGAAAAUUAGAUAUUGGAGUUUCCUCAAAUCAUUGAAGGAAAAUAGAUACUUCAAAUGUCACUUCAAGAAUAAUUUGAAACAUACCUUUUGCAAUAUGGCAUAAUUAAAUGAGUACUGUAGUUAAUUAUUUAUAUUGGUUACAAUAUAAUAUACCAAAUAUAAUAUCCAUAAUUAUAGAUUGUUUAUAUAAAAUAAAUUGUAGAAAAUUAAGUGAGACUUCUGUUUUCCUAGAAACGCAAAUAAUAUUAAAAACAAAAAAAUGUCGGCAAUGAUAUGAAAAUUACUCUCUGUACUGUUAUGAAAUAGAAAAUACUUUCUACUUUAAUAGUACAUAAUUUUUAUUUUCAAAUAUAAGUAGUAAAGUAGUAAAUAAUAUGUAAUUUAUAGUACAUUAAAAUUUCUGUACAGAUUGAUCAUAAAUAUUAAAUUUUAUUACAAUACUAUAAGGGAAUUAAAUGAAUAAGGAUUCCAAAUAUAUAAAUAAUAAAUAUAUCCACAAUUUUAUUUUCUAUCUAGUUAAAUUUAUUGGAAAGCUCACAAUAUGGCUACCCAUUGCCAACUUUUUUCCCUCAAUACUGACUACUAGUGUCAGUUCUGGAAAUGCACACGCUAUGGUUAUUUGUGCCAAUUCUUUUCACUCAAUACUCACUACCAGUGUCAGUUCUUGAAAUGCCUACAAUAUGACUAUUCGUGUCAAUUCUUUUCCAUCAAUACUGACUACCAGUGUUAAUUCUUGAUAUUCCCACAAUUUGGUUGUGUGUGCAAAUUCUUAGUACCAAGGAAAGAAAGGAAGAGAAGUUUGUAGGAAAUUCAUCGGUGAACAAUUGAGGGAGAAAGAAUAAGUUGAAUGAAAGCGCAUUCAACUUGAAACGAGUUAUAAUGAGGGGAGAAUGCCUCUAUUUAUAACGAUGAGAUUUUUUCAAAGUUCUUCAUCUCUCCAAUGUGGGACUUGAGAGUUAUUUUUUUCAAUUUUUUUCUAUGUGAGACUUGAGAGCCUUUUUUAGAUUUCACACCUAAAAGUUCUCACUUAUGGUUUUCAACAAACCAAGUUCCAACAAUCCCUCACUUGAAAUUAAAAAAAUGAUUUUCGAGAAUUUUUGUGGUCACAAUAAGAUUGUGCAUAAACAAAGGUGUCAUGCGACUUGAACCUAUGCAUAAUGAGUAAGAUCCAUAUUUUACUAGAGUGACUCGUAGUCUUGAACUCUAUCUCCAACAUCAAACCACACACAACCAUUUCAAAUGUGUAUUCUGUAAAACUCGUACGUAAAAGUUCAUGCACGUCUAUCCUAGUAUAGUGAACGCUCUAAAAGUUUAUGCCUUAGAAUUUCAUAGGAAGCGACCCUCACUUCCACAUUCACAUAAGUGAGUCUAUCAAGAGUAGUCAUGUAGCUUAGAUACUCCACUCCAAUUGGAGUAUAGAUCUCAUUAAGAGUUUAACUCAUCAUUACAUAUGCUUCAGGAAUCAUGCUUAUCAUAAUUUUAUAGCAUGUUCAUUCUCAUAUCACUUCAUAACUUAUUAUUAUCAAUUAAACCUAUUUAUUGGGAUCUCCAAUCAAUUAGGUCGGGUUAUCAUCCUGAGCGAUCCUCGUUUUAAGGGCAAUAGUCUCAUACUCGUAGUACUAUUAUAAACUUUCUCUCUAGCUAGUCCAUUCAUCAAAGGAUAUGUUAAGUUAUUCUCAGUGCGUACAAGAUACACUCUAACAUCUCCUGUACAGAAUAACUCUUUAAUGGUGUUGUGUUUACGACGUAUUUGUCGUUUUUAUCGUUAUAAAAGCGACUCUCAAUUUUUGUAAUAGUCGCGAUACUAUUACAAUGAAUCAACACAACUGAUAUCAGUUUUUCCCAUAGGGGAAUCUAUACAAGCAACAUUUUUAGCCAACUUGCUUCUUUAGUAGUCGUUGCUAGUGCUAUCAUCUCCACUUCCAUAAUGGAUUGAGCUAAAAUACUUUGUUUCUUGUUAGACUCUAGAUAGUCCAUAUCACCAGUUAUGACUUCUUGCCACAAAUCAGCAUCAAAAGAAGUCAAAACUUCUUGGGAAGUUGAUGGAUUCUCCUCCAAUAUAUAAACAAUAUAAUCACGUAUAUAUUCUCUAGCAGAUGUUGCUCUUUUACUUCUUCUAGGUUCUAUUUCAAACCUUUCAUUUUUUAUCAUAAUCACAUGUUUAUGAUUAGUUGAUGUGCCCUCACUAUUCCUCAAUUUAAAAUAGAUUUUCUAUUCAUUGAAGUCGGCAUCAUUAGACUCACUGAUCAUUUUUGCAUUAAGGUCAUAAAAUCUCUAUGCAUUGUUGUUUACAUCAUACCCAACUAAUACACAUUCACAGGCUCUAUGAGUUUAACUCUUUAGGGGCAUAUCAUCAUAAAUGAUUUCACGAGCAAUUCUAUGUAUCUCAUUGGACUGAAACUCUACUAAUUUAUCAUCAGUCAUAUGAUACUCGAGGUAACGACUAACAACAUAUUUUUUAGUCUCACCUUCCUCAGUACCAUAUUUCUUUUCAAGUGAAUACCAAAUUAAUUUGGCAGACAUGUAUGGACUAUAGUAAUCAUAGAGAUCAUGAGAUAACCCAUUCAGAAUGAAAUUCUUACACAGGUAAUUAUUUUCAUUCCAGAUAGCUAUUUUAAUAACUAGUUUAUCCAUUUUCUCUAUUUCAGCUUUUUCCAGAAACACUCAUAUAUCGGUUUUUAGAAUGUGAGCAACAUUUCUCAUAGUGAGGAAAAUUUUCGUAUUAUGUUGCCACCAUUUAAAAUUUGUCCCUUCAAACCGAAAUGGUUUGUUCAGGUCAAAGCUAUUUGGUCUAGAAAUAUUAUCUACGAAUGUCAUUGUAGUAGAAAAGUCUUAAAAUUGUUGUUAUGUUGCUUGCAACAAUUCUAAAUGGGACGAAAUAAUAUUUACAGGCUGAGUCAUGAACAAGUCUCUCUAUUUAAGAUGUUUCGUGACAUUGUCCAAAUUGUGCAAGCAGAAUAUCAACCACGUCGUCCCCAAGACAAAAUUGCCCUGUCCUAUAUUAUCAAAUUCUUAUUGCACUGUAAGAAUUAAUCUUGAAUACACCCACCACAAUAUGGCUACCCGUGCCAAUUCUUUUCCCUUAAUACUAAUUAUCAGUUUCAGUUCUCGAAAUUCUCACAAUUUGGCUGUGUGUGACAAUUUUUAGUACCAUAGAAAGAAAGGGAGAAAAAUUUGCCAGAAAUGCAUCGACAUACAUUUGGGGGGAAAGAAAAAGUUGAAUUAAAGCGCAUUCAACUUGGGACGAGUUAUAAUACGGGGAUAAUUCCUCUAUUUAUAACUUGAGAUUUUUCAAAGUUUCUCAUCUCUCCAAUGUGAGACUUGGGAGUUGUUUUUUCAAAACUUUUUUAUGUGGGACUUGCGAGUUUUUUUAGAUUUCACACCCCACAAAUUCUCACUUAUGAUUUUCAACAAACCAAGUUCCAACAUCAAUUUAUCUACUAACAAAUAUCAUCCAAUUAUGAUAUAUAUUGAGACACUCUCCACCGAUUCACACAACUCAAAGGCGCAUGAGAGUUAGAUUGGUUGAAGAAUAAUUAUCCUAGCCUAGAUUAGUGGAGAGCCAUAUGGUGUUUUUAUUGGCCCGUAGUGGCAUUAUUAUUGAGUUGAGAAUGAUGGGGAAAUAUUGUUAUGGAUACACCAGAGAUAACACAUACUCUCGAGCUUUCUCAUGGUUGUCGUUGUCAAGACUUGCAUACAAUCCAUUACAAAAUUUAAUGCAUAUGAAUAUUCCUCAUACAGCUUAGGGUGGAUGCAUUAUACUUCAUUUGCAUAUUUCCUUCUCAUGUAUGGCAAAUAAUUAUCGUUAUGCGUCCUCUUGAUAAUGAAGAUUGCUUGGCUUAGAAAUUUAUGAAUGAUGAUGAUUUACGACACCUUCUACUUAUAAGAUACUCUCUAAUCAUCAAAACCAAGCUCGAGUCAAGAUAUUUCUCUGGAGGAUUGCACAUGAGUCAUUCAUAAAGAAUAAGAUGCGGUUUGGUAGGAAUCUUAUAUUGGAUGAUACAUGCAGAGUUUGCCAUAAUCACAUAGAAACUUCCUUACAUGUGCUUCACAAUUGCACCUUCGCCACCAAACUGUGAAGUAUGUUAGGGUGACAACCCUCCUAUGUUGAAUUCUACUCUUUGUUGUUACAGUCUUGAUUGAACAUCAAAUUAUCUCAAGGGCAUGGAAAAAACUCUAAUAAUAAUCAGGUUUGAUUCCUUAGCAUCUGGUGUUUGGAAUAACUUGUGAUAGCCUUUGGAGAAGAAGAAACCAACUAAGUUUCUAGGAAACUUCUCUUAGUGCUACAACUCUUUGUAUUGAUUGAUGGAGGGCGAUGGUCAAUUUGUUUGGAGCUACAUCUUGAAGGAAGGAAAUUCAGUAGCAGAUUCUCUUGCAAAGUUUGGGCUAUCUUAGGAAAUAAUCUGCGAAUUUAUGAUGUUAUCCCAAACUUCUGUAUAGUUUAAGUUAGUUUAGAUUUAGCAUAUAGGAGAAGGCUAUCUCCCCCUUAGUCUUUUUUUUUGUUUCCUUGCUUUGCGGCUAUAGCCAUCUAUUGUCAUAACAAGAAAAUAUAAUGUGCACAUUAUUGAAAUUGAUUGACUAUAAUUGUCAUGUGUUGGUAUUGCUUUAAUAUUAUAGUUUAUGUAAAUUGUGCUAUAAUGGUCGUAGUUGGUAUAUUACCUUUCCCCCUUAUGUUUUCUUGUGUUUGGUAUAUGUUGCUUAUAUAGGGUGAGUACAAUGUAGCAUGGAUAUCCAUUUUUUUGUUUCUCACAUGUAUCCUCGCACUAGAGACAACCCUGUCCGAGUCGAGAAUAUCCACAGAUAUGUGGGGCUAACUCUCCUAGCGGGUAUUUUUUCCAUCCACAAAACUCCAACCCGAGAUAUUGCUUAAGGGAGUCAAGCAUGUACGAUCUUGAGUGAAUUUCAGUCACAAUCAAGACUAUGUUGAUUGCGGUUGUGUUUGGGAUAAACCUCAUUUAGUCUGGUUGACUUUUCUUUGGUAAUUAAUAAUAUUCUCUUCUAUUUUGCAUUAACAUUUAUAAAAUACUUAUAUCUUGUAGUUUUAUAUUUGUGAUAUGAGUAAAGCUUAAGGAAAAAUCAUUGCGUUAAGAUCCAUGUGUUUUAGCCUUUUUAGUUUUAUGUUUUGGGUGGAGUCCAAUGAAAGAUUUUGUAAAUUUUAUCAUUUCUAUUUUAGUAUUUUGGAGAAAGUCUAAUGCCAUCUUUUACUAUUAAAAUCAUUUUAUUCACAUUUAAUAUUCUAGGCAAAGCGAGAUAAAGUUUUUAUAAAUACAAUUCGGUCAUGAUUGAAAAAUUGUUUGUAUAAGAAAAAAAUUGUGUAUUAUAAUUAUUAAAUAUGUUUAUUUUAUUUAUUCUACUAGUUAAUCUGGCAUAACAAAAUAAAAUUUGGGCAAGGAAUCUCCUAACUUUGGAUAUAUUCAACUAUUUUGGCAUGUAUAAAUUUUACAUAAUAAUUAGCAAAUAAAGGAGUCUAUCUUAAUUGUGUAAUACCAUAAAUUUUUUGUGUAUGUUUUAUUAAUUAUUUAUUUUAUUAACGAUUAAUUUUAGAAAUUAAUAGGUAUUGAUUUAGACUAAACCGUAGUUCAUAGAUAGUCUUGUUUUGUGAUUUACUAUUUUUUGGUAAAUUUUAGUAAUUUUUUGUGAUGGAAAGUUUUUGAACUGUUGUCGGGCCCAAAUUCGUCUGAAUUCGGCACAAUAACAUGUUUUUAAGUUUCGUAACUCGAAAUCAAAUUCUAAUUGCGCCAUUGCCUUCGAAAUAUUAUUUUGAGUCAAAAUAGAUAUCAAGUUUGUCCAUAACACAUUUCUAAAUAUUUUUCACUCCAAAUUUAGUGUUUCCAAGUUCUAACCGUAAACCGAAAUCGAGAGAUUUUUAAUAUCUGGCCGAGUAUUAGCCAAAAAUACUUGAGCAUGGUUUAAUCGCGAAUGUUUUCUGAAGAGCUCACAUCACUUUCAUGAGUGAAGCUUGCUUGUCAAACAAGCAAAAGUACACAUCUCUUAAACAAAAUCUCUUAAAUCACCCAUAUACCUCGUUAUUCACUGUGUUAGUAUGGAAUGGAUGCGUUGUUAUAAACUUUGGACCUGUUCAACCCUAUCCUAUUGUCCAUCAAUUAUUGGAACCAUCAAGAAAAUAUAGGUCUGUUGGGAAUUGCCUCAUAUCAUUGAAGAAAAAUAGAUGUGGGUAUUGCCUCAAAUCAUUGAUGAAAAUUAGAUAUUGGAGUUUCCUCAAAUCAUUGAAGGAAAAUAGAUACUUCAAAUGUCACUUCAAGAAUAAUUUGAAACAUACCUUUUGCAAUAUGGCAUAAUUAAAUGAGUACUGUAGUUAAUUAUUUAUAUUGGUUACAAUAUAAUAUACCAAAUAUAAUAUCCAUAAUUAUAGAUUGUUUAUAUAAAAUAAAUUG